Molecule: ribosomal RNA, 628 nt
Filed under: Bacillus sp. FJAT-17270
Lineage: Bacteria; Bacillati; Bacillota; Bacilli; Caryophanales; Bacillaceae
Description: bacterial SSU rRNA
Rfam family: Bacterial small subunit ribosomal RNA
Source: RNAcentral
GUUAGCGGCGGACGGGUGAGUAACACGUGGGCAACCUGCCUAUAAGACUGGGAUAACUCCGGGAAACCGGGGCUAAUACCGGAUAGUUCUUUUCCUCUCAUGAGGAAAAGGGGAAAGAUGGUUUCGGCUAUCACUUAUAGAUGGGCCCGCGGCGCAUUAGCUAGUUGGUAAGGUAACGGCUUACCAAGGCGACGAUGCGUAGCCGACCUGAGAGGGUGAUCGGCCACACUGGGACUGAGACACGGCCCAGACUCCUACGGGAGGCAGCAGUAGGGAAUCUUCCGCAAUGGACGAAAGUCUGACGGAGCAACGCCGCGUGAACGAAGAAGGCCUUCGGGUCGUAAAGUUCUGUUGUUAGGGAAGAACAAGUAUGAGAGUAACUGCUCGUACCUUGACGGUACCUAACCAGAAAGCCACGGCUAACUACGUGCCAGCAGCCGCGGUAAUACGUAGGUGGCAAGCGUUGUCCGGAUUUAUUGGGCGUAAAGCGCGCGCAGGUGGUUUCUUAAGUCUGAUGUGAAAGCCCACGGCUCAACCGUGGAAGGUCAUUGGAAACUGGGGAACUUGAGUGCAGAAGAGGAAAGUGGAAUUCCAAGUGUAGCGGUGAAAUGCGUAGAUAUUUGGAGGA